AUCAUCAUCAUCAACGCAGGAGGACAUCAUCAUCAUUAAGGGUUGUAAUGAUUUCAGUUUCUUUUCAAGUCGAAACAUUAAGGUUGCAAUGCCUGUUGGGAACUAUACUACAUCGAGCAUGAAAUUCAGGAGACGUCGUAAACGAGGAAAGUGGAGAUGGAAGGUCGAUAAGGAUGAUUCACGUAUGAG
Helianthus annuus (common sunflower) is the source of this 189-nucleotide long non-coding RNA. RefSeq lists it as uncharacterized. The transcript is spliced from 3 exons. Lineage: Eukaryota; Viridiplantae; Streptophyta; Magnoliopsida; Asterales; Asteraceae. The record is from RefSeq and is a predicted model, not a curated record.